Molecule: long non-coding RNA, 583 nt
Organism: Pezoporus flaviventris
Lineage: Eukaryota; Metazoa; Chordata; Aves; Psittaciformes; Psittacidae
Exons: 3
Source: RefSeq, a predicted model, not a curated record
CAUAUUAGAAACGUCCUGAGCCCCAGCAGGUCUGGGGUGGCCCAAGCCUCUGACUUCCCUGAGAUUUGCUGUGGAUUGGCCUGGGUUUUACUGCUCUCUUCUCCUCUCGCCCUUCCUGCAGCCCUGAUGCGGAGUUCUGUGGCUACUGUAUCACACACCCCUCUGAAAGCAAGAUCAGCUUCCGGAUCCAGACCAGAGGGGCCCUUCCUGCUGUUGAGCCAUGCCAGAAAGGAAUGAAUGACCUGAUGGGUGUUUGCUAACAUGUACUCAACACCUUUGAGAGGAGCAUGAAGGAGUACAGGGCCCAGAGGGAGGAAGAGAUACAGUAGCAUUUGGGGAUGGCAGUCUCCAUGGACGUGUAAGGUCUGUGUGUUGAAUUCCCUGUGCCAAGUAUUUCUGGUUGUGUGUUUUAGGACUGCUUUGAUGCAAACCUGUAUUUUCUGUAAUAAUAAAGAUUCUGCAGGCUGAUGUUGCAGAGGUGACGCUGUGUCCAGCUCAGCAGGGUAUGAAAAAAGAUAGAAGGCAGUUCUUCCCCUCCUCUGUCUUCUAUCUCUUUCCAAGCGUCGUUGCUGUUUCCUGCCCA